UUAUCUGUUGUGUUCGUGAUUGAUUUAUUUCCCUGAGCCGAUUAAGUAUAGAAAAAGGAGAUGAGAUUGGUUACUUUUGUGUAAGCCUGCCUUGAAGUGGGAAACCUACGGUAAACAUCGAACUUCCGCCUUGAACCAGAAAGGUUCAGGACCAUGUCAACACGGCACAAUGGA
This 174-nucleotide non-coding RNA is filed under the name Pseudothioglobus singularis (SeqCode). RNAcentral's name for it is "6S / SsrS RNA". It matches the Rfam family "6S / SsrS RNA". Rfam says of the family: E. coli 6S RNA was the first non coding RNA to be sequenced, but its function was unknown until recently. Lineage: Bacteria; Pseudomonadati; Pseudomonadota; Gammaproteobacteria; Pseudothioglobaceae (SeqCode). The record is from RNAcentral.